GCAAGUCGAACGGUAACAGACGCUGAUGAUCCCUUCGGGGUGAUUCUUGUGCUGACGAGUGGCGGACGGGUGAGUAAUGCGUAGGAAUCUGCCCAAUAGCGGGGGACAACUAUCGGGAAACGGUAGCUAAUACCGCAUAAGCCUUACGAGGGAAAGAUGGCCUCUUCUUGAAAGCUAUCGCUAUUGGAUGAGCCUACGUCGGAUUAGCUUGUUGGUGGGGUAAUGGCCUACCAAGGCGACGAUCCGUAGCUGGUCUGAGAGGAUGAUC
This 268-nucleotide ribosomal RNA is filed under the name uncultured bacterium. Its description in RNAcentral is "partial 16S ribosomal RNA". It matches the Rfam family "Bacterial small subunit ribosomal RNA", at positions 57 to 305 of the family's 1533-position model. The record is from RNAcentral.